ACAGCACCAAAGCCGCGAUGCUCACUCCGCACAGGCGUCCGCGCCAUCCUCGUGAGCGGGCCAAGGUCUGAGUAUUCCAGCCCCCUCGACCGGCUCUAGCAGGGCCCGACCUCAACGGGUCGAGCGACACACCAGAAACACGGCCGCCCCCGCGCACGCCCGACGACGCGCUAUCUUGUGCCCACGGUCCGCGUGCCCGCGCGGGAAAAUGCAGAGGGCCGCCGCGGUGCCCCGCCGGGCUUGCUCAACUGGGGAUUUGGUGGUCUUGGGAUAUGUCGUGGGGCAGGGUGCCGCGCCGGCACGCUGCGCGAUGCAUCUCGCCCGCCCAGUGUGUGUAAAAGCAUACACGCUCUUUGGUCCCUUGGUAGCUAACACGCUAUAUACAAUGUGACCGUGCGUGCUUCCUGGGCGGGCGGAGUAUCAGGGCGCGUGCGCGGGUGCGGUGUCCUUCAGUGCACUUCGCGGCUCGCGGGCGACGCUCUUGGGCGCGCCAGCGAAACUCGAUUCAGACUACUCUAGUGCUGU
This 525-nucleotide RNase P RNA is filed under the name Gelatoporia subvermispora B. RNAcentral describes it as "Nuclear RNase P". It matches the Rfam family "Nuclear RNase P". From Rfam's summary of the family: Ribonuclease P (RNase P) is a ubiquitous endoribonuclease, found in archaea, bacteria and eukarya as well as chloroplasts and mitochondria. Its best characterised activity is the generation of mature 5'-ends of tRNAs by cleaving the 5'-leader elements of precursor-tRNAs. Cellular RNase Ps are ribonucleoproteins. Lineage: Eukaryota; Fungi; Basidiomycota; Agaricomycetes; Polyporales; Gelatoporiaceae. The record is from Rfam by way of RNAcentral.